Molecule: long non-coding RNA, 1464 nt
Filed under: Scleropages formosus (Asian bonytongue)
Lineage: Eukaryota; Metazoa; Chordata; Actinopteri; Osteoglossiformes; Osteoglossidae
Description: lncRNA (ENSSFOG00015029474.1)
Source: RNAcentral
CAUGAUCAUGUUCCUCCCAACUCUUUUUUUUUGUUCUUUUUCUUUUUUCUUUUCAAUGUCUGAAUGAGGAGGGAAGAAGAAGAGCAGAGUCACAUUUCGGACCUUGGACUGGCCGGGGGGGGCGGGUAGAGUGCUGUCACAGCUGGAUGUUGUGGAUCACGCGCACACUCCUAUUUACUGCGCUCCCAACAUCUGGAUUUCAUCAUCAGAGCGCACCGCGCCCACAUUUACUCUGCUUUACUCUACACUCGGGUCUCUUUCGCAGUAAACCGGGGAAAGGAGAUGAUUAUAAUCAUGUGUUCGCUGCCGCCAGCAGCUCUGUGUCUCUUCGUGCUCCUCUUCACCGCUCUUCCGAGCCUCGUGACGGCCAACGUGGUCCAGGAGCGCGCCGCUCUUGAUGAAGAGAAAUUCCUUCGGCUCAGUUGUGGAACAUACCAAGAAAAUUAUGAUGUGAUCUGGAAAAAAGAAGGGCAAGAAGUUGCUAGCGUAAAGAAGGGAAUCAAAUCACUGCAGGAAAAUUUUGGCUUAACAGAGCGUGGAACCCUUGUGGUGUCCGAAGUGCGCAGGUCCGACGCAGGAGAAUACACCGCGAUGCUGCUUGACAGCUCGCAAAACAAAUUGUGUGAAAUGACUGUGCAGCUGAGUGUGUCAGAUUCCAGUGACCCCCCACCUGAGCCAACAAAGAAACCUGAGAAAAGCCCACCUAAAGAUCCCAAAGCACCACCCCCCCAUAAGCCAAAACCUGGACUGGCCAAACCUAGAGCUUCUGCUUCCAUCAUCACUGCAAGCAUCUCUGCUCAUGUGAUACUGUUAUUGGUGUGGAUUUUGGUGUGAAAAGGUUCCAGGCCAUGAUUUCCACACCUUGAGAAUUCCCAGGUCAGUCUCAGUGAGUACCUCCUGCUCGACUGAGUAUAAUGCGGUUUCCUACGGUAAAGUUACCCAUAUACGGCACAGGUCCCCUCCCCUAUUGCUGCAGUUAUAAACUCUGUCCUGUGGACUAAAACUUUAUAUUGUUGGUCAUGAAGAGCCUCCAGGUAUAAAUCCGUCCAAUUUCAUGACACAAUUAAAACAUGUUUUUUUGCAAUCUUUAAACUUCUAGCCAUUACUUGCUGUCUGUAUCAUAGCCACUUGUGCAACAUCUGACUGUGUGAAAAUUAAUUUAUGCUGCAUGAACUCCUUACAUAGUGACAGGCAGCAGGUGCAGUUUACUGUAAAUUACUUUAUUCACUUCCGUGUUCUAAAGCAGGAGGCGGAGGUGUGUGCAGUGUGUGUGUUGUGGUGUCAUACACACCGCUGUUAUAAUCAGGAUGGCCACUGUGAUCAGUGACAUCUCAGCCGAAGUGCAGGCUGUAAACAAGUAUACUGCGCUGAGGCUUACCACGGUGAAGUAGUGCACUCACAGUACAGGUGCAGAACGCAGUGAUUUUUUUUUUGAAUCCGGAAUAAAUGCACAAGGGAGAAACA